GGGGUUGUAGCUCAGUGGUAGAGAGCUCACCUAGCACAUGCAAGGUGCAAGACCCUGGGUUCGAUCCUCAGCACCACA
RNAcentral lists this transfer RNA (78 nucleotides) under Marmota monax (woodchuck). RNAcentral's name for it is "tRNA.Ala". The record is from RNAcentral. Lineage: Eukaryota; Metazoa; Chordata; Mammalia; Rodentia; Sciuridae.